Molecule: long non-coding RNA, 1637 nt
Organism: Gossypium arboreum
Lineage: Eukaryota; Viridiplantae; Streptophyta; Magnoliopsida; Malvales; Malvaceae
Exons: 2
Source: RefSeq, a predicted model, not a curated record
UAUUAUUUAAAUGUAAUUAUACUUUUUGUUGAGCAAUGCCAUUUCCUUUUCAGCUUAUAUAAAGCCGUGGCCUUCCACUUACAGAUCAAUGAGAUGCUUUGCGAUGAAUUUUAGUGUAGUGAUCAGUGAUAGAAACGUAAGAGCAAAUACCAAAGAGAAAAUGGUGGAGGCUCCCCCUUCUUCUAGCUCAUAGCCUUCAUCCUCUCUGUUUGACUCUCCUUCGUAAGAUCUUCCUCUUGAGCAGUCGCUUUCAUUAUCACCUAUCAUCCCUUCUUUCUCUUACCCUUGGUUGUAGGAGCAGUUUCCAUUUCCACCCACCUUUACCCAUGAUCCAUGUCGACAUGUCACACUGGAGAAGUUUCUCUCCCCAAGUGCUUCUGAAAUUUUGAAGGACCUAUCUAACUCAUCCUUUUAUUUUGGUUUUCUCUAGGGUUACUUGGGCCAGGGCCAUUUUAAUUUAUCUUAUAAAUUGAUGUCAAAAUAGAAUCAUAAAUCUGUGUAAUUAAACUGGCUAUUUUAGGUACUAUCAGUAUGUAUGCAGUUUGUUUAUGAGUUGUUUUCUUUGGUGAUCUAAUAGAUAAGAGAGCUUCCUUCAGUCCACUCAUGGGUAGCAGUGGGAUUUAAUUAGCUGCCGACUCAUUCAUCCAAAUACUGAGUUAGAAGGGAUCAGCGAAAGAUACCCAGUAAAUGAGUGAAUGAUGCGGGAGACAAAUUGAAUCCUCAACUUCCUGUGCUUGGACUGAAGGGAGCUCCCUCUUCUGUUAUUUUAUCUAUCUAAACCCUUCUAAUUUCGUUAGAUCUUUCGUCUAGUUUAUGUAACUUCAAUAAACAUCUAGAGUCCUUAGCUCAAGGUUUAUCAUGUGUGCUUUUUAUUGACACUGAAUACUUCCUUUUGUCACAUUAAUAGCAAUUCAAAGUACUUUUAAUCCUGAAGUGAUAUUGGGUUACUGAUUGUAUAAUUAAUGGUCAUAUAUCUGGUUUAUCCCAAUUUCUUAAUCACAGCCAUGGCAAGUGGGUUAUCAGUGAUGUUUAUCAAGGCAGUUUCCCCAAUGGGGCUGAGGUUAUAUGAGCAGAUCUCGGGAAGCUGGAGAGCAGGAGUUUUAGGGUUUAUUAUUAGAAGCUGAUGUUUAAGUUUCAAGUUUAGACUCUCAGGAAAGGCAACGCGUGGCCGGAUAAGUUUGUAAAGCUCACGCUCUACGACGAAACCUUCUUGGGUCUUGUUUUCUAACUGCAACAAGUUCCUAGACAUGUGUCCCCAGUUACAUGUCCAAUUACCAAUAUAUCCCUUUAUGUUGUUUUUAAAUGUUGUACCCUAGAUUUGCAAAUCUGUGGCACACUCGUCUUUGUUCUAAGCUGUCUUUGGCGGUUAUAAAUGUCUCCUCUGUAUUCCUUCCGACAUGUACUCCUUGGCAGAGUGGAAACGUAGUUUACAUUAGUACAUGUGGUGUUGCGGUGUAUUUGAUUAUGGUUUUGGUGGAUGCGAAGUGAAAUCACUGCUUUCUUUGUUCAUCCUUUCUGGUGGAACUCUUCACAUGGUUUUUUUCCAAUUCUCUUCAGGGAUAAUCAUCGUGUUCUAUGUACCUAAUGAAAGGAGUUAAAUGAAUAAUAUAUACAAAUCAAGUUAAUAAAAAUUAAAA